Molecule: ribosomal RNA, 286 nt
Filed under: uncultured bacterium
Lineage: Bacteria
Description: partial 16S ribosomal RNA
Rfam family: Bacterial small subunit ribosomal RNA
Source: RNAcentral
GAUGAACGCUAGCGGCAGGCUUAAUACAUGCAAGUCGAACGGUAAGUAUUUUAGCAAUAAGAUACGAGAGUGACGUACGGGUGCGUAACACGUAUGCAACCUACCUUGUACAGGAGGAUAGCUCGGGGAAACUCGAAUUAACCCUCCAUAAGAUCGUGGUGAGGCAUCUCACAGCGAUAAAAUCUUAGGAGGUACAAGAUGGGCAUGCGUCUGAUUAGAGUUGGUGCGGGUAACGGCCCACCAAGACGAUGAUCAGUAGGGGACCUGAGAGGGUGAUCCCCACACU